Molecule: long non-coding RNA, 1868 nt
Filed under: Equus caballus (horse)
Lineage: Eukaryota; Metazoa; Chordata; Mammalia; Perissodactyla; Equidae
Description: lncRNA (ENSECAG00000049078.1)
Source: RNAcentral
CGCGGUUUGGCCGGUUCAGAUCCUGGGUGCGGACUUAGCGCCGCUCAUCAAGCCAUGUUGAAGUGGUGUCCCACACAGUAGAAGUGGAAGGACCUACAUCUGCAAUAUACAACUAUGUACUGGGGGGUUUUGAGAAGAAGAAGAAGAAGAAAAAAAAGAAAGAUAAAAUGAUCACUGUGUCAAAAGCUUUCCCUAUUUCAAGAUGAGGACUGAGAAUUGGCCGUAUUUCAGUGGAACAGUGAGGACAAAAGCCUGGUGGGAACGGAUUAAAGAGAGAUGGGAAGAGGGGAAAUCGAGACAGCUAGUGAGCACAGGCGAUUCUUUUGGGGAAUUUUUCUCUAAAAGGGAGCAAAGAAAUGAGGUGGCAGCUGGAAAGGAAUGUGAGGUCUAAGGAGGUUCUUUGUUUUGUUUUUUAAAUUGACAAUUUUUUAGAGACUUUUAGUUCACAGCAAAUGAAUCAGAAGGCACAGAGAUUUCCCAUAUACCUCCUGAGCACACACACACAUAUAUAGCUCCCGCACCAGAGUAGCACAUUUGUUACAAUCAAUGAAACUAGAUUGACAUAUCAUUAUCACCCAAAGUCCAAGUUUACAUUAUGAUUCACUCUUGGUGGUGUACAUUCUAUGGGUUUUGACAAAUGUAUAAUGACAGGUAUCCACAAUUAUAGUAUCAUACAGAGUAAUUUCACUGCCUUAAAAAUCCUCUGUGCUGUGCCUAUUCAUAUCCCCACCCCCACCCCACCCCCACAACAACUGAUCUUUUAAUUAUCUCCAUACUUUUGCCUUUUCUAGAAUGUCAUACAGUUGGAAUGAUACAGUAUGUAACCUUUUCAGACUGACUUCUGUCACUAGUAACAUACAUUUAAGGUUCCUCUAUGUCUUUUCAUGGCUUGAUAACUCAUUUCUUUUUAGCACUGAAUAAUAUUCCAUUGACUGGAUGUACCACAGUUUAUUUAAGGACAUCUUUAUUACUUCCACAUUUUGGCAAUUAUGAGUAAAGCUGCUAUAAGCAUCUUCAUGUACAAUUUUUUGUGUGGACAUAACUUUUCAACUCAUUUCAGUAAGUACCAAGAAGUGCAAUUGCUGAAUCUUAUAUGUUUAAGUUUAUAAGAAAUUGCCAAACUAUCUUCCAAAGUGACUGUACCAUUUUGCAUUCCCACCAGCAAUGAUAGUUCCUAUUGCUGCAUCCUCACCAGCAUUCAGUGUUAGUGUUUUGGAUUUUUGCCAGUCUAUUGAGUGUGUAGUGGUAUCUCAUUGUUAUUUUAAUUUCCAAUUCCCUAAUGACACAUACUGUCAAAUAUCUUUUCAUAUGCUUAUUUUCCAUCUACAUAUUUUCUUUGAUAGAGUGUCUGUUCAGGUCUUCAGCUCAUUUUUUAAUGCUGUUGUUCAUUUUCUUAUUGUUGAGUUUUAAGAGUUCUUUGUAUGUUUUGUAAAAUGGUCCUGUAUCAGAUAUGUCUUCUGCAAAUAUUUUCUCCCACUCUGAGGCAUGUCUUCUCAUUCUCUUGACAUUGUCUUUCACAGAGCAGAAGUCCUUAGUUUUAAUGAAAUCCACUUUAUCAGUUCUUUCUUUCAUGGAUUUGAUGUUGUAUCUAAAAAGUCAUCACCAUACCAAGUUCAUCUAGAUUUUCCCCUAUGUUAUCUUCUAGGAGUUUUAUAAUUUUGCAUUUUACAUUUUGGUCUAUGAUCCAUUUUGAGUUAAUUUUUGUGAAGUAUAUAAUUAUCCUUUAAAUGUCCAUGGGAUCUGUAGUGAUGUCCUCUCUUUCAUUUCUCUUUCUUCUCCUUCAGGUAUUCCUAAUACGUGUAUGUUAUAUGUUUUAUAGUUGUCCCACCUUUCUUAGAUAUUCUGUUCUGGAUUUGUUUGGGUUUUUU